Molecule: non-coding RNA, 3776 nt
Organism: Lolium perenne
Lineage: Eukaryota; Viridiplantae; Streptophyta; Magnoliopsida; Poales; Poaceae
Source: RefSeq, a predicted model, not a curated record
AUUUCUUUCUGUACAAAACAAAAAUCUGCAUACUGAAGAAGUAAUCAAGAGAUUUAAUGAUGUACUGCUGUUGUGUGAGAUACACUUUGUGUCCUAGUAUGAUUUUCUAUCACCUAUUUAUCUGUUACUGAACCGUAAUGUCUCCAGCUUAUCUUCUUUAGUACUCCCUCCAUCCCACAAAGGAUGCCGUUCCUAGAUACAUCCAAAUUUAGAAAAAUCUAAGACAUCCUUUAUGGGAUGGAGGGAGCACUAAUUUUCUUUUGAUGUUUUAUCAUAGUCAUAUGUUGGAACCUGCACUUAGUCAUGUUUUUUUAAUCCAAGCUCUAGAGGUUCUGAUCUCAAACAGGGUAAACUGUGACAAAGGUUAUGUCAUGUGACUUGUACCAUCAGUUUUGCAGUUUUUUCAGAAAUAUUUCUGGAACUCUGUAUCUCGUCAGAUUCAUCAGUGUCCUCAUCCGGAAAAAUUUCCGCCUCUUCAUAAGCAUUUGAUUCCUCAAUGCCUUGUUCAGAUUCAUGCACAUCAUACUGGAAUGGAGCAAAAUAUAAUGUUAUUAACACAAGUUGCACCUCUCGGAAGUUAUACAUAUUGUCUUUUACCACAUAAAUAUAGUUCAUCAACCUGCCUUUAUGGCAACAGUGGUAAGUAUAAUUCUGGUCAAACAUACUUGAGUGCGGAGUGAAUUCAAAUACAAUGUCAUUUGUUUCUGCACCACUGUAUGUGUGUGGACAAACUUAAAAAAUAGGCAGAAGUUCUUAAUGCACAUUUUUACUAGCUGUGUCGAAAGCAAAACCAAGGACAGUUAUACCUUUGCUGAUUGAUCAGCACCAUCCAACUGAAUCACCCCAUCCCCAUCCAUGAUAUCAUCUGCCUGAAAUGAAUCAUACUUGAGAAUAUACCACAAGUUAGGACCCAAACUCUGAACCAUGGUCAUAAACUUGUGAACUGAAACAGUUACUGUUUGCAUCUGUGUAAUGCUUUACUAAAAUUUGCUUACGAAAUCACUUUGUGGUGUUGUGUAUCCAUCAGAUUCAUCGCUCAGCUCAUGUAUAGAUGCCAACAAUUCAGAGCUCCCCCCAUAUCCAAUGCUUCCAGUAUGCCUCAGAUGAUCAUUACUGCACUUAAGAUUAUCUCAUCCGUCAACUAAUCACUGGAUUUGAUCCAUAUCUUACUGGGAGUAGUUCUUAUGUAGUUAUGGACUUGAGAGAAACUGUACCUAGUGGACACAUAUUUGCCAUUGACCACCACCCAAACCUGACAGCAUUUGCGAAGGACCUCUUGCUUUGCCAUCUUCCUGCAUAACUUGGCUCAGUGUUAUAUUGUUCUAUGCGGUUGACAAGACCACCAAGAAUGUCUUCGUGUGUGAUGUAAUGCGCCCUAACCUGCAAAGGAUAACAGGAGAUCAGGAAAAGGCUAUUUAUCAUACCAGGGAAGUUUGAUUAGGCAUAUAUUACUCCUAUUCACACACAAGUUGAAAUAUAGUACACUGAACUGCACAUCGGCGACUCUUAAAACUAUACAAAAGAUGGAAGGUAUUUGGCUCAAUAAAUCUUACUGAAGGGCAUCCACUUGGAUGGCCAGUGAACAUUGACAAGAACUAUUCUGGCCCUUGGGAAUUUAACCGUAGACCACAGUAUGUUAGCCUUCUCUUUUCUGAAGUUCUUUCCUACCGCGAUGUGAACCUCCUCGUCAUCCAUCUUUGUUGCUCCUUGUAUACUGUUAAAAAUCAAGAGUAACAUCACAUCUAGAUUCUGCUUUUGCUAUCUGGUUCAGCAGAACCUGAACCACAGAAGCCUCAACUAAAAUAGAAUCUGUAAGUGGUCUCAAAGGCUUACGGAAGUACCUAAUUGUGAUGCACCACUUUUCAUCAACCUGUGGGCAUCAAUAUCAGUGUCAUCCUUGUCCCUUUUGUCCCUGCUUUUCCUUGGAAGUGUCAGUUCAUAGAAGGCCUGAAGGAGAUGGUCUGGUAGUGGUUUUAAAGAGUGGCCUUGGAUUUGGUGUUCCUCGUACUUUGGGUCCCACGUGUAGUCCAAUGAAAAAAAUGUGGUUUCAAUUUAGGAAACAUUGGUUUGCCCUUUCAAACAUUCCUGCCCUCAGUGACUGACUUUUGAUGCUUAGCAAUGAAGUCGUCCCAUUAUAUGGAGGACGUCUCCCUGGACGGCAGUGCCCAUCAAAGGGGUUGCUUUCAAGAUGUGGAAAUGUUGUCCAGGACAUAUAAUUCUGAUAUGAUUAGACAUCUGCAAUAUUGUUCUUUCUCUGAUGUUGGCUCUUACAUAAUUCAUUCUCUCAAGCUGUCAAUAUAGUAAUGUACAUCAUGACAUCUCGUAUUUUUUAUGCGUGUGUUCACUAGCAUAUACUGGCAUUAUACCUCGGAACUACAGUACUUGAAUGUUGAUUGUGCAGCUUGUAUCUAUUGGAUUCUCCAUCAGACUCAUUUGGACGGAAGUGCUGUCGAUAAGAAAUUGCACACACAUGCAGUCCGGACGUAGUGAUAUCCUGACAUAAUAGAGUAUGUCAGAGCUGAACUAGACUCCUAAAAUCAAGGUCAAGAUCUGAUAGAUCGCGACUGCAAGGAGAAUUAAGUUUAUUUCUGGUUACUAACUUCUGAAGAUACCAAUCGAUAUUUCGUUUUGCAAGUUUCUCUUCAGAUAGUACUGGAAAUUUGGUCAGUCAUUUGAUACAAGGACGUCAUACCUUUUGAAUUUGUGUUUAACGACCUGCAAUAGUAAGAAAAUCGGCAAACCUAGUAUGUCCGCAUUUUCCAGAGAAGGUUCGGUUCAACUUGGAUUUGUGUCAUUGACAAGAGGAUAAAAUAAGCUGGUCCAAUGUCACCGAGUUUUUAUUUACCUUCUGAAGAGUUCAAUUUUGAUCAUUUAUAACUUUCAGAAUAGAAAAAUGGAUGCUGCGAAUAACAGACUUUUAGAAUGGAUUUAACAUGUAAAAUGACAGUGUUAACAUAUAUGGUUGUAAAAAAUGAUAGUUCCACUCUUACAUACAUUUGCAUGCAAUCAUUCACUUCAGAGGCCAGUCAGUAAACCCCAUUAUUGAUUGUUCAAUGAAGCAGCAUGAACAUGUAAUGACGGUAUCAUCCGCAAAACAGUUUUCUACUUAUAAAUCCAUGUAUAAGGCCCAGCAUGCCAGUGAUGAAGCCCCAAGUCAUUACAUUUUACGUAAAGUUUUGCUGAAGAUACAAAAUAAAAAGCAAUGUGUUUAUCUUAAGUCACUCUUUCAGAAUAACACGGAAGUGCUUGGUUUGUUGUGGUUUGUGCCUAUUAAUCUGACCAUUCUUGGAUUGCAGAACGGAGGGCGUGGUUCGGCAAAAGAUCACGGUGGAGUAGCUCAAGGUUUGUCAUGGGUGAUGUAUGGUGGCCACUGUCGAUCCACUCCCUUAUAGCUUCGGCUUCAUAGAGCAUAUGCUGGAAUUUUUCAGGCUCGUCAAAUUCUCUAACAAUAUCCUGCAUGCAAUAAGAGAAGGCAAAGCCAGGGAGGGAAACAUGUCAAACGGGCUGGAAUUCUGCUAUGUAAUCCUAAGAAUACAAAGUGAAGAUUACUCGAAGUCGACCAACCGUACCUUCGAUAAACGAGCGUUCCUUUGCAAAUGUACCAUAUUCUGCAGAAAGGAUCCGCCUGUUGUUCUACAGCCUGUGCUUUCUUAGACUUGAGGGCCAUAAUUUUCCUGAACUCUUGAAAGAGUUAGGUUUUAUUUUUGUGUGGCAAUACUAAUGACUGCCAAGUGUUCAGAUAUAAUUAUCAUGCAUAGAUGUCACGAAAUUCGCAA